GGGCUGGGCUCAGUGGUAGAGCACCUGCCUUGCACGUGUGAGGUACUGAGUUCGAUCCUCAGCAUGACA
This 69-nucleotide transfer RNA is filed under the name Marmota monax (woodchuck). RNAcentral describes it as "tRNA.Ala". The record is from RNAcentral. Lineage: Eukaryota; Metazoa; Chordata; Mammalia; Rodentia; Sciuridae.